RNAcentral lists this ribosomal RNA (582 nucleotides) under Zasmidium gupoyu. RNAcentral's name for it is "eukaryotic LSU rRNA". It matches the Rfam family "Eukaryotic large subunit ribosomal RNA", at positions 44 to 657 of the family's 3401-position model. Lineage: Eukaryota; Fungi; Ascomycota; Dothideomycetes; Mycosphaerellales; Mycosphaerellaceae. The record is from RNAcentral.
CAAUAAGCGGAGGAAAAGAAACCAACAGGCAUUGCCCCAGUAACGGCGAGUGAAGCGGCAACAGCUCAAAUUUGAAACCUGGCGCAAGCCCGGAUUGUAAUUUGCAGAGGAUGCUUCUGGGCAGCGGCCGGUCUAAGUUCCUUGGAACAGGACGUCACAGAGGGUGAGAAUCCCGUAUGUGACCGGCGCGCACCCUCCACGUAGCUCCUUCGACGAGUCGAGUUGUUUGGGAAUGCAGCUCUAAAUGGGUGGUAAAUUCCAUCUAAAGCUAAAUAUUGGCCAGAGACCGAUAGCGCACAAGUAGAGUGAUCGAAAGAUGAAAAGCACUUUGGAAAGAGAGUUAAAAAGCACGUGAAAUUGUUGAAAGGGAAGCGCUCACAACCAGACUCCGCGGCGGUGUUCCGCCGGUCUUCUGACCGGUCCACUCGCCGCCGUGGGGCCAACAUCGUCUGGGGCCGCCGGAUAAGACCGCAGGAAUGUAGCUCAUCGAGUGUUAUAGCCUGCGGUGAUGCGGCGCGCCCCGGGCGAGGUCCGCGCCUCGGCAAGGAUGUUGGCGUAAUGGUUGUCAGCGGCCCGUCUUGA